GACGAACGCUGGCGGCGUGCUUAACAUAUGCAAGUCGAACGGUAAGGCCCUUCGGGGUACACGAGUGGCGAACGGGUGAGUAACACGUGGGGGAUCUGCCCUGCACUUCGGGAUAAGCCUGGGAAACUGGGUCUAAUACCGGAUAGGACUCCGGACUGCAUGGUCUGGGGUGGAAAGCUUUUGCGGUGUGGGAUGGGCCCGCGGCCUAUCAGCUUGUUGGUGGGGUGAUGGCCUACCAAGGCGACGACGGGUAGCCGGCCUGAGAGGGUGACCGGCCACACUGGGACUGAGAUACGGCCCAGACUCCUACGGGAGGCAGCAGUGGGGAAUAUUGCACAAUGGGCGCAAGCCUGAUGCAGCGACGCCGCGUGAGGGAUGACGGCCUUCGGGUUGUAAACCUCUUUCAGCAUCGACGAAGCGAAAGUGACGGUAGGUGCAGAAGAAGGACCGGCCAACUACGUGCCAGCAGCCGCAGUAA
RNAcentral lists this ribosomal RNA (478 nucleotides) under uncultured bacterium. RNAcentral's name for it is "partial 16S ribosomal RNA". It matches the Rfam family "Bacterial small subunit ribosomal RNA", at positions 28 to 523 of the family's 1533-position model. The record is from RNAcentral.